This is a long non-coding RNA of Homo sapiens (human), 567 nucleotides long. NCBI's taxonomy places the organism in Eukaryota, Metazoa, Chordata, Mammalia, Primates, Hominidae. The record is from Ensembl.
AGCGAGACUCCAUCUCAAAAAAAAAAAAAAAAAAAAAGAAAAGAAAAGAAACUGGCGGACAAAGGAAGAGAUCCUCCUUCAGGCAGGGUAGGGAAGAAGGGCACUCGGUGACCAGAGACCUUUUCCAGGACCAUGUCUUUGAAGCAAAUCUCAGCUCUUGUCUUCCGGAAGCGAUGGAGACAGAAUCCAGAAGCCUGAGACUCUCUCCUUUCCUGGCUUUGAUGAAGCAAGCUGCCACACUGGAGAGGCCUACAUGAUAAGGACCUGAAGGUGGCCUCCAGCUAGCUCCAGCCAACAGUUGGCAAGGAAUUGAGGACCUGAGUCCAAUAGACCUUGAGGAACUGAAUCCUGCAACAGCUACACAAGCUUUUGUGAUGCCCUAUAAUUACAUGAACUCUACUAAAAAGAGGGAUACUGGAAAGAAGAAUAAUGUUGAGACACCUUUGCAGAAGAAAAAACAACUUCCUCUCUUCCUCUACUUCACUCUGGCAAGUUCUCCAACCUGACAAGCCAGUAGGGAGUGCCGGAAUGUCAUGGCUGAGAAAAGAGAUGUUAACAGGCUGUAUG